UACGUAGGGUGCGAGCGUUGUCCGGAAUUAUUGGGCGUAAAGAGCUCGUAGGCGGUUUGUCGCGUCUGCUGUGAAAACCUAAGGCUCAACCUUGGGCUUGCAGUGGGGUACGGGCAGACUAGAGUGCGGUAGGGGUGACUGGAAUUCCUGGUGUAGCGGUGGAAUGCGCAGAUAUCAGGAGGAACACCGAUGGCGAAGGCAGGUCACUGGGCCGCAACUGACGCUGAGGAGCGAAAGCAUGGGGAGCGAACAGG
Molecule: ribosomal RNA, 254 nt
Filed under: uncultured bacterium
Lineage: Bacteria
Description: partial 16S ribosomal RNA
Rfam family: Bacterial small subunit ribosomal RNA
Source: RNAcentral